AGUAAUUCCCUGCAUAUAUAAACCAGGCACUAAUGCAUACUACGGCAGAUUUCAAAGGCAGGAUCAUACCAUGUGGAAAGGUUUAAGGAACACUGGAAGCAUCUGCAUGGAUGGGGCUGGCAACCAGACAAAAAGUAUUUUUGCCUUGAUUGAAUCUAGUCAGUGAGCAAGUCACAGGUGACUCAGAGGAUGACUGUACGGAAAUAGACGCUGUUGCUGGGAGGAAGCAUUUCUGAAGGAUGGGAAUGGGAGCUUCAUGCAAGUACAGCUACUCACAUCCUGGUAUGUCUGAAGCUCUGGGCUUUGGU
This 308-nucleotide long non-coding RNA is filed under the name Corvus moneduloides (New Caledonian crow). RNAcentral describes it as "lncRNA (ENSCMUG00000019673.1)". Lineage: Eukaryota; Metazoa; Chordata; Aves; Passeriformes; Corvidae. The record is from RNAcentral.